Molecule: ribosomal RNA, 481 nt
Filed under: uncultured bacterium
Lineage: Bacteria
Description: partial 16S ribosomal RNA
Rfam family: Bacterial small subunit ribosomal RNA
Source: RNAcentral
GAUGAACGCUGGCGGCGUGCUUAACACAUGCAAGUCGAACGAAGCAUUUGCGACAGAUUUUUUCGGAAUGAAGUUGCUUAUGACUGAGUGGCGGACGGGUGAGUAACGCGUGGGUAACCUGCCUUGUACUGAGGGAUAGCAGCUGGAAACGGCUGGUAAUACCGCAUAAGCGCACAAUGUUGCAUGACAUGGUGUGAAAAACUCCGGUGGUAUAAGAUGGACCCGCGUCUGAUUAGCUAGUUGGUGAGAUAACAGCCCACCAAGGCGACGAUCAGUAGCCGACCUGAGAGGGUGACCGGCCACAUUGGGACUGAGACACGGCCCAGACUCCUACGGGAGGCAGCAGUGGGGAAUAUUGCACAAUGGAGGAAACUCUGAUGCAGCGACGCCGCGUGAGUGAAGAAGUAAUUCGUUAUGUAAAGCUCUAUCAGCAGGGAAGAUAGUGACGGUACCUGACUAAGAAGCUCCGGCUAAAUACGUG